RNAcentral lists this ribosomal RNA (378 nucleotides) under uncultured bacterium. RNAcentral describes it as "bacterial SSU rRNA". It matches the Rfam family "Bacterial small subunit ribosomal RNA", at positions 524 to 898 of the family's 1533-position model. The record is from RNAcentral.
UACGGAGGGUGCGAGCGUUGUCCGGAAUCAUUGGGUGUAAAGGGUGCGUAGGCGGGUUCUUAAGUCUGGGGUGAAAGUCUGCGGCUCAACCGUAGGAUUGCCUUGGAUACUGGGAGUCUUGAGUAUGACAGAGGCCGGUAGAAUUCGUGGUGUAGCGGUGAAAUGCAUAGAUAUCACGAAGAAUACCAGUGGCGUAGGCGGCCGGCUGGGUCAACACUGACGCUGAGGCACGAGAGUGUGGGGAGCAAACAGGAUUAGAUACCCUGGUAGUCCACACCGUAAACGUUGUAUACUAGGUGUUGGUCUCGCUUCGGCGGGAUCAGUGCUGCAGCUCACGCAAUAAGUAUACCACCUGGGGAGUACGCCGGCAACGGUGAA